This 253-nucleotide ribosomal RNA is filed under the name uncultured bacterium. RNAcentral describes it as "partial 16S ribosomal RNA". It matches the Rfam family "Bacterial small subunit ribosomal RNA", at positions 524 to 776 of the family's 1533-position model. The record is from RNAcentral.
UACGUAGGGGGCAAGCGUUGCCCGGAUUUAUUGGGCGUAAAGAGCGUGUAGGCGGCCAGGUAGGUCUGCUGUGAAAACUCGAGGCUUAACCUCGAGAUGUCGGCGGAAACCAUCUGGCUAGAGUCCGGAAGAGGAGAGCGGAGUUCCUGGUGUAGCGGUGAAAUGCGCAGAUAUCAGGAGGAACACCCGUGGCGAAGGCGGCUCUCUGGGACGGUACUGACGCUGAGACGCGAAAGCGUGGGGAGCGAACAGG